RNAcentral lists this ribosomal RNA (480 nucleotides) under uncultured bacterium. RNAcentral describes it as "bacterial SSU rRNA". It matches the Rfam family "Bacterial small subunit ribosomal RNA", at positions 8 to 478 of the family's 1533-position model. The record is from RNAcentral.
AGAGUUUGAUCCUGGCUCAGAACGAACGCUGGCGGCGCGUCUUAAGCAUGCAAGUCGGACGGCAAGGCGGGUGCUUGCACCCGCCCUAGAGUGGCGGACUGGUGAGUAACACGUGGGUGACAUGCCUUGAGGACGGGGAUAGCCGUUAGAAAUAGCGGAUAAUACCGGAUACGCUCAUCACUGUUAGAGGGUGGUGAGGAAAGGGGCUACGGCCCCGCCUUAAGAGUGGCCCGCGGCCCAUUAUGCUUGUUGGUGUGGUAACGGCGCACCAAGGCUCUGAUGGGUAUCCGGCCUAAGAGGGUGAACGGACACAUUGGGACUGAGAUACGGCCCAGACUCCUACGGGAGGCAGCAGCUAAGAAUAUUCCGCAAUGGGCGAAAGCCUGACGGAGCGACGCCGCGUGGGUGAGGAAGGCCGAAAGGUUGUAAAGCCCUUUUGAACCUGAAGAAUAAGCUUCGGAGGGAAUGCCGGAGUGGUGA